RNAcentral lists this long non-coding RNA (871 nucleotides) under Suricata suricatta (meerkat). RNAcentral's name for it is "lncRNA (ENSSSUG00005022284.1)". The record is from RNAcentral. Lineage: Eukaryota; Metazoa; Chordata; Mammalia; Carnivora; Herpestidae.
CAGGAUGAUCCAGCUAACCAUUUUUCUUCUUAAAACUUGAAAUAAAUGGAGAUCAAGAAUGCUAGACAUCUUUAAAUAAAUCAGAGGUCUUAUGACACUUCUAAUAUUUUAUUAACAAAGUUUUGGUUUGAUUUAUCGGUUUAAAAUAACUAGCAAGGUAUUCUCUAAGUGCUGAAACAUAAAUUACAAACACGAAGCCUUGAUUUAUGUUAAUGGUGGAUAAUAUGUGGGACACGGCAAGUUAGCACAGAUUUUACACUAUUUCCUGAGUUAGGGGUUGGAACCAGAGAAAAGAGCUGGAGAAAGUGCUGCCUUAGGCUCCAUUUGUUGAUAUAUGGGUGACGGCUGUCUUCUAAGAAAUGAUAUAAUCCUGAUGAUGUGAACUUUCACUUCUAUUCCAGGCACCUCCAGAUUUUAGUGAAAUCUGUUCGACAUUUCCGAGUCCCUGGGAUGGAUCAGAGGCAUUCAGAUUUCUGCAAGGAUGGCAGAGGAAAAAAAAAACCAAAAAAGUGUCUGUGUUGGAUUGCAGAAAACAGAAACCAACUCCAGCUAGCUUGCAUGAAAGUAAUUUAUUGAUGGGACAUUCGGGUCCUGAAACCUACAAGUUAAAAUAACCAGUCUUUGGAUGAGCCAGAGCCGGGCAACUCCAGGGCCCUCAGAAGAAGGAAGUUAUGGACUUCUUCUCUAGAAUGCUGACAUUCAUAUUUCUAAUUUUUAGUGACCUGUAUUGUCAGAUGAACCAGCUCUGGCCAGGAAGGUAGGGUCCAUGAUUGCUGGAGGCCCCUCCAUGGCAUCAGGCCAAUUCCCAAGGCAAGGGGAAUAGUAGGAGCUAAUAAAUUCGUAAGGCUUUAAUGAGGUGUAAUAGUCAUGU